GUCAGCUUUGGGUAAAAGAGUUUGGGUUUUAGUAGAGCUUGUUACUAGAAUGAAGAUGUGGCUUUGAUAAAUUCGGAACACACCCAAACUACAAAUCAGAGUUUUUGUUAACUUCCAGAAAACCUCCUCCUUGGCAUGCAGUCGGCUGACUUUGUUUUUCUCUAUUUUUUUGCAGAACCCUUAGCAACUCCUACACUAGCUGUGCUAGUUAAGACCAAUGGUAUCUCCAGGAUUACUGCCAGAAGGAAAAAAAAAAAAAAGGAAAAAUGUUUAGACCCUUGCUUCAGAGAAGCCCUGUCAUGAAAGGGAGCUGGAGUCAUCUUUGAGAUCUUUCCCCUGGAGUAAAGCAAAUGACAUGAAGAAAGCUGAGAAAGGCAGUUCAAAGCCAGGAUCAUACCCUGGGACAAGAUCAGGACUCUGGAAGGUUUCUGGGUCUUGGAAAGCUGGGUUCAUAGGAGAGGUGGUAAACCCACUUUUAAUAUAAAGAAGAAGUCUCUUAAAAAUGGAGAGCGAAUGAGUUUAGAACUGAGGACACCAGGACUAGUCAGUUGGCAAGUGGCAAUCAGCCACAGGAUAUUUCACUGAAGGAAUGAGAACAAAUCAACUACAAACUUCCAUGGAAAAAGCAUGCAAAUUUUAGAUGUCAGUCUCCAAUUAUCAGUGACCAAAAGGGCAAAGGACCCCCCUCCGGUGCCACACUCAAUAUUCCUCACCGGAAAAGAAAGAGAAGUCAGUGCUCUGGGUGGAAUGACACGCUCCUUGGUAGUGCCUCCUCCACCACCAGGGAGGCAAAGAAAAGCCAAAAAAGUCCAAAGCAUUAACAACUUAGAAGCUAUUUUUCAUGUUGCCAACUUAGAUGCUAUUUUUCAUGCUGCUAUCAUUACCUCAAGUUUGAUGCUACAGUGA
Molecule: long non-coding RNA, 906 nt
Filed under: Calidris pugnax (ruff)
Lineage: Eukaryota; Metazoa; Chordata; Aves; Charadriiformes; Scolopacidae
Description: lncRNA (ENSCPUG00000012540.1)
Source: RNAcentral